GAGUUUGAUCCUGGCUCAGGAUGAACGCUAGCGGCAGGCCUAACACAUGCAAGUCGAACGGUAACAGAGAAGAGCUUGCUCUUUUGCUGACGAGUGGCGCACGGGUGCGUAACGCGUAUACAAUCUACCUUUUACAGGGGGAUAGCCUUUAGAAAUGAAGAUUAAUAUCCCAUAGUAAGUUAUCAUGGCAUCAUGAUUACUUUAAAGCUUCGGCGGUAGAAGAUGAGUAUGCGUUCUAUUAGCUAGAUGGUGUGGUAACGGCACACCAUGGCAACGAUAGAUAGGGGCCCUGAGAGGGGGAUCCCCCACACUGGUACUGAGACACGGACCAGACUCCUACGGGAGGCAGCAGUGAGGAAUAUUGGACAAUGGGCGAGAGCCUGAUCCAGCCAUGCCGCGUGCAGGAAGACUGCCCUAUGGGUUGUAAACUGCUUUUAUAUAGGAAGAAACCUUUCCACGUGUGGAAAGCUGACGGUACUAUAAGAAUAAGGAUCGGCUAACU
This 502-nucleotide ribosomal RNA is filed under the name uncultured bacterium. Its description in RNAcentral is "bacterial SSU rRNA". It matches the Rfam family "Bacterial small subunit ribosomal RNA", at positions 9 to 502 of the family's 1533-position model. The record is from RNAcentral.